GUGACAGAAGAGAGUGAGCACACAUGAUGUUUUCUCACAUAACGUAUAUGGAUGUUUGAAGUUAUGCGUGCUCACCCUCUAUCUGUCAC
This 89-nucleotide microRNA precursor is filed under the name Capsicum baccatum. Its description in RNAcentral is "mir-156 microRNA precursor family". It matches the Rfam family "mir-156 microRNA precursor family". Rfam says of the family: This family represents the plant microRNA (miRNA) precursor mir-156. The record is from Rfam by way of RNAcentral. Lineage: Eukaryota; Viridiplantae; Streptophyta; Magnoliopsida; Solanales; Solanaceae.